AUACGGAGGGUGCAAGCGUUAUUCGGAAUCACUGGGCGUAAAGGACGCGUAGGCGGGUUGGCAAGUCAGAUGUGAAAUCCUACAGCUUAACUGUAGAACUGCAUUUGAAACUGCUAACCUAGAGUAUGGGAGGGGGAGAUGGAAUUAGUGGUGUAGGGGUAAAAUCCGUAGAUAUCACUAGGAAUACCGAAAGCGAAGGCGAUCUCCUGGAACAUAACUGACGCUAAGGCGUGGAAGCGUGGGGAGCAAACAGGAUUAGAAACCCUAGUAGUCC
RNAcentral lists this ribosomal RNA (274 nucleotides) under uncultured bacterium. Its description in RNAcentral is "partial 16S ribosomal RNA". It matches the Rfam family "Bacterial small subunit ribosomal RNA", at positions 523 to 796 of the family's 1533-position model. The record is from RNAcentral.